UUAUUGGAGAGUUUGAUCCUGGCUCAGGAUGAACGCUGGCGGCGUGCCUAAUACAUGCAAGUCGAGCGAAUGGAUUAAGAGCUUGCUCUUAUGAAGUUAGCGGCGGACGGGUGAGUAACACGUGGGUAACCUGCCCAUAAGACUGGGAUAACUCCGGGAAACCGGGGCUAAUACCGGAUAACAUUUUGAACCGCAUGGUUCGAAAU
This 206-nucleotide ribosomal RNA is filed under the name Bacillus cereus. RNAcentral's name for it is "partial 16S ribosomal RNA". It matches the Rfam family "Bacterial small subunit ribosomal RNA", at positions 1 to 201 of the family's 1533-position model. The record is from RNAcentral. Lineage: Bacteria; Bacillati; Bacillota; Bacilli; Caryophanales; Bacillaceae. RNAcentral also lists the same sequence under 1 other name.